AUCAGGUAGGACUACCCGCUGAACUUAAGCAUAUCAAUAGCCGGAGGAA
RNAcentral lists this ribosomal RNA (49 nucleotides) under Metarhizium robertsii. RNAcentral's name for it is "partial 28S ribosomal RNA". The record is from RNAcentral. Lineage: Eukaryota; Fungi; Ascomycota; Sordariomycetes; Hypocreales; Clavicipitaceae.